UGGGGAAUUUUGGACAAUGGGCGCAAGCCUGAUCCAGCAAUGCCGCGUGAGUGAAGAAGGCCCUCGGGUUGUAAAGCUCUUUUGUCAGGGAAGAAAAGGUGAUCUCUAAUACAGGUCACUCAUGACGGUACCUGAAGAAUAAGCACCUGCUAACUACGUGCCAGCAGCCGCGGUAAUACGUAGGGUGCAAGCGUUAAUCGGAAUUACUGGGCGUAAAGCGUGCGCAGGCGGUUAUAUAAGUCAGAUGUGAAAUCCCCGGGCUCAACCUGAGAACUGCAUUUGAGACUGUAUGGCUAGAGUGUGUCAGAGGGGGGUAGAAUUCCACGUGUAGCAGUGAAAUGCGUAGAUAUGUGGAGGAAUACCGAUGGCGAAGGCAGCCCCCUGGGAUAACACUGACGCUCAUGCACGAAAGCGUGGGGAGCAAACA
RNAcentral lists this ribosomal RNA (427 nucleotides) under uncultured bacterium. Its description in RNAcentral is "partial 16S ribosomal RNA". It matches the Rfam family "Bacterial small subunit ribosomal RNA", at positions 355 to 774 of the family's 1533-position model. The record is from RNAcentral.